Molecule: ribosomal RNA, 531 nt
Filed under: uncultured bacterium
Lineage: Bacteria
Description: bacterial SSU rRNA
Rfam family: Bacterial small subunit ribosomal RNA
Source: RNAcentral
AGAGUUUGAUCCUGGCUCAGGACGAACGCUGGCGGCGCGCUUAAUACACGCAAGUCGAGCGAGAACCAUGGCUUCGGCCAUGGGGACAGCGGCGAACGGGUGAGUAACACGUGGGUAAUCAACCCCCGACACCGGGAUAGCCCGGGGAAACCCGGAUUAAUACCGGAUGCCCCAUCCGGCUUUCGAGCCGGCUGGAAAAGGGUAGCUUCGGCCUCCGGUCGGGGACGAACCCGCGGCGGAUUAGCUUGUUGGUGAGGUAAGAGCUCACCAAGGCGACGAUCCGUAGCUGGUCUGAGAGGACGAUCAGCCACACUGGGACUGAGACACGGCCCAGACUCCUACGGGAGGCAGCAGUAGGGAAUCUUGCGCAAUGGGCGAAAGCCUGACGCAGCGACGCCGCGUGAGGGAAGAAGGCCUUCGGGUUGUAAACCUCUUUCAGGAGGGACGAAGCCACUCGGGUUAAUAGCCCAGAGGGUGACGGUACCUCCAGAAGAAGCCCCGGCUAACUACGUGCCAGCCGCCGCGGUAAUC